ACAACCGGAGGAAGUGGGAUGACGUCAAAUCAUCAUGCCCCUUAUGACCUGGGCUACACACGUGCUACAAUGGUUGGUACAACGAGUUGCGAGUCGGUGACGGCGAGCUAAUCUCCUUAAAAGCCAAUCUCAGUUCGGAUUGUAGGCUGCAACUCGCCUACAUGAAGUCGGAAUCGCUAGUAAUCGCGGAUCAGCACGCCGCGGUGAAUACGUUCCCGGGCCUU
RNAcentral lists this ribosomal RNA (224 nucleotides) under uncultured Streptococcus sp. RNAcentral's name for it is "partial 16S ribosomal RNA". It matches the Rfam family "Bacterial small subunit ribosomal RNA", at positions 1159 to 1382 of the family's 1533-position model. Lineage: Bacteria; Bacillati; Bacillota; Bacilli; Lactobacillales; Streptococcaceae. The record is from RNAcentral.